CACCUACGGGGGGCAGCAGUGGGGGAUAUUGAACAAUGGGGGGAACCCUGAUCCAGCGACGCCGCGUGAGUGAAGAAGUAUUUCGGUAUGUAAAGCUCUGUCAGCAGGGAAGAAAGAAAUGACGGUACCUGACCAAGAAGCCCCGGCUAACUACGUGCCCGCAGCCGCGGUAAUACGUAGGGGGCAAGCGUUAUCCGGAAUUACUGGGUGUAAAGGGAGCGUAGACGGUUAAGUAAGUCUGGAGUGAAAGGCCGGGGCCCAACCCCGGGACUGCUUUGGAAACUAUUGAACUU
Molecule: ribosomal RNA, 293 nt
Filed under: uncultured bacterium
Lineage: Bacteria
Description: partial 16S ribosomal RNA
Rfam family: Bacterial small subunit ribosomal RNA
Source: RNAcentral